This 427-nucleotide ribosomal RNA is filed under the name uncultured bacterium. Its description in RNAcentral is "bacterial SSU rRNA". It matches the Rfam family "Bacterial small subunit ribosomal RNA", at positions 355 to 774 of the family's 1533-position model. The record is from RNAcentral.
UGGGGAAUAUUCCGCAAUGGACGAAAGUCUGACGGAGCAACGCCGCGUGAGUGAUGAAGGUUUUCGGACUGUAAAGCUCUGUUGUUUAGGACGAAAGUGCCUGUUGCGAACAGUUACAGGUAUUGACGGUACUAAACGAGGAAGCCACGGCUAACUACGUGCCAGCAGCCGCGGUAAUACGUAGGUGGCAAGCGUUGUCCGGAAUUAUUGGGCGUAAAGAGCAUGUAGGCGGAGAUUUAAGUCUGUUGUGAAAAUGCGGGGCUCAACCCCGUAUUGCGAUGGAAACUGAAUUUCUUGAGUGCAGGAGAGGAAAGGGGAAUUCCCAGUGUAGCGGUGAAAUGCGUAGAUAUUGGGAGGAACACCAGUGGCGAAGGCGCCUUUCUGGACUGCGUCUGACGCUGAGAUGCGAAAGCCAGGGUAGCGAACG